RNAcentral lists this ribosomal RNA (103 nucleotides) under Jaculus jaculus (lesser Egyptian jerboa). Lineage: Eukaryota; Metazoa; Chordata; Mammalia; Rodentia; Dipodidae. The record is from RNAcentral.
GGUCAUACCACCCUGAAUGCACCUGAUCUAGACUGAUCUAGGAAGCUAAACAGAGUUAUGGCUGGUUAGUACUUGGAACGGAGAAAGAAAAAUAAAAGACACC